Molecule: long non-coding RNA, 1232 nt
Filed under: Coturnix japonica (Japanese quail)
Lineage: Eukaryota; Metazoa; Chordata; Aves; Galliformes; Phasianidae
Description: lncRNA (ENSCJPG00005000671.1)
Source: RNAcentral
CUCCACAUCUGUCUCAUGAUUUUCUUUUCUACCAUACUGUUUCCAGAGUGAUUGAGCCCCAGUGAGAAAGUGGGAUCUUAAAAUACAAAUUUUCCUCUUCUUUUGCCCUUAUCACGUCUUUUAAUUUACUUAAAUAUUUAACCUCCACCAUUUCUUCUGCCUUAAUGCUUAACAAAAUGACAAAAUCCUGAUGUCUAAUCUAUUAUAUAGCAUAACCCUCUGCCCUGAUCAACAGAUUGGUAAAUUGCAAUAAUGAAUUACAGCCUGACAUGUGGCCAAAACCCCUGCUUCCAACAGGUUGUUACAUUUAACUCACUGGUCUUAACUAUUUGUUUUGUUUUAGCUGCCAGUAUAUGGGAGGCAGAGUUAAUGGAGAGCAAUUCUUCCAUUGACUCCAAGCACUGCACCACAGAGAACAUCUGUCAGCAGCAGAGCUUGCUUUCACUUUCACAGUGCACUGUUGCUUGUGUCAGAAGUUCACUGACUCUGGAUGCAGUCAUGAAUGCUGAGUGAUUCUACAAAGGUAAGCUCCAGCUGUUAUCUACUUGGCAAACAAAAAAGGAGAAAUGCAUGAUUACUUACAAAAAUUACUUUUCCACUUGCUCAGCACCUGCUUAUGGGCAAUCUUUCUGUCCAGUUAUCUAUACCAACAUAUUUCUAACUAUGAGAUUGUUUCUUUUCCUGUCUAGUCCUGCACUGUGCAUUCCACAUUUUUCAACAGCAACAAUAACUGAAAUGGCAGACUCAAAUCAUUUUCUAGCACACAAAUAACACCAGUUCUCAGACUUCUGUUUUUAUGAAGUCAUAUCAGAGUAGUUAAAUAGCAGUAAAAUCUUUAACAGUAGUUUAGGAUUGUGAGUAGUAAGCAUUUCUCAAAUACAGUAUUGAGUCAUCCCCCAGGUAUAAAUUAUACAAAAAGACAGUUAUCUUUUAUGGAAUAAUGUAAGUUGGAAAGAAAGCAUAAGGAAAGAAGGAUCAGAAACCCCAGAAAGUAACUGUCAAAAGACCAUUGAAAGAGGCAGUCUAACAGAAAAUACAGCACUGUCUGAGAUGAAAUCUUAUACCUAAUCAGCAUUGUCUACUAUCGCUUGAUGUGCAUCAUCAGUUUGUAUUUAGGCAUCUUAAUUCCAUGUCAGAGAUUGCAGCUAGCUAAACGUAAGCAAACAAACAGUUGAUUAAUAGGUUUGAAUAAUAUUGCCCCUAUUUAUAAAAUAUUAUAUAAAAUAUAAUUU